UACGGGGGGUGCAAACGUUGCUCGGAAUCAUUGGGCGUACAGCGCACGUAGGCGGUCCAGUAAGUCGGGUGUGAAAGCCCUCGGCUCAACCGAGGAAGUGCAUUCGAAACUGCUGAACUUGAGUAUGGAAGAGGGUCGCGGAAUUCCCGGUGUAGAGGUGAAAUUCGUAGAUAUCGGGAGGAACACCAGUGGCGAAGGCGGCGACCUGGGCCAAUACUGACGCUGAGGUGCGAAAGCGUGGGGAGCAAACAGG
Molecule: ribosomal RNA, 253 nt
Filed under: uncultured bacterium
Lineage: Bacteria
Description: partial 16S ribosomal RNA
Rfam family: Bacterial small subunit ribosomal RNA
Source: RNAcentral